This 207-nucleotide ribosomal RNA is filed under the name uncultured bacterium. RNAcentral's name for it is "partial 16S ribosomal RNA". It matches the Rfam family "Bacterial small subunit ribosomal RNA", at positions 568 to 774 of the family's 1533-position model. The record is from RNAcentral.
UGCGCAGGCGGCCAAGUGUGUCAGAGGUGAAAGCUCACGGCUCAACCGUGGAAUUGCCUUUGAAACUGCUUGGCUUGAGUCCGAGAGAGGAUGAUGGAAUUCCUGGUGUAACGGUGAAAUGUGCAGAUAUCAGGAAGAACACCGGUGGCGAAGGCGGUCAUCUGGCUCGGUACUGACGCUCAGGCACGAAAGCUAGGGUAUCAAACG